AGGUAACCCUCACCACGCAUACUUCUCCAUCAUUCUGAGUUGAGGAGAAAAAUCUCUGCAUCUCCAGGAAUCCGAAAUCCUCAUCCUGUCUCCAUUCAGCCUGUCUCAAGGUCAAGUGUGUAUCUUUUCUGCAUAGUUCUGCAUUCACAAUGAAAGGAAUGGAAACGGAAGAAAGCCGUAUGCCCCUCGCUCGUGAAACACGUGUGGGUGUCAUCCAUCUCUUCAGGAUUCGGAGUGCCCCAAAGCACGAUUUGCAAACCACAAACAGGUGGUGGUGGAUAAAUGCAUCAAAAAUAUAACGUGCAGUUCAACAACUUCUAUUCUGAAUGGCUAUCCUAACUGUGUAAAAGAUCAUUGAUGUGUGUAGCCUUUGCGACUGGUUAAUUUGGGUAUUAAGAAUAAUAAAGAGACCAUUUGGUGAACUGAUGUUCUGAAAAAGAAUCAGAGCUACGGGUCAAGAGUUUAAGCUUUGAUAUUCCUUAUUUCAGGUAAGUCUAGUUCUCACUAUACCUUUAGGCAUAUAUCCAUAGAUGUAUAUUCCUGUACAUAUAUAUGAUAUGUUAUAUAAAUAUACAUAUAUAUGCCUAUUAAUAUAUGUCCUAAUAUUUUCACAUUAUUAAAAGAUUGAAUGUGUAAUGAAUAUACCUCAAUUAAUAAUAAAUCCAUUAUUAUAUUUUUAUUCUAUACAAAGGCAAAUGUCUCAUACAUCAAAAAUGUGUGUGAUAUGUUUUCUAGAACUAAUCAGAAGCGUUUCAUAAUGCAAAUGUAUUCAAUAGUUGAAAGUACAGUAUGUCAGUAUAAAUAUGUCAAUACAAAAACAGAAACAAAAGGGGGAACAAAAAUACUCAUAGGAGGAGAUAUGGAGACAAAGUUUGGAGCAGAGACUGAAGGAAUGGACAUUCAAAGCCUGACCCACCUGGGGAUCCAGCUCAUAUACAUACAGCCACCAAACCCAGACAAUAUUGCUGAUGCCAAGAAGUCCAUGCUGAGAGGAGCCUGAUAUAGCUGUCUCCUGAGAGGCCUUGCCAGAACAUGUCAAAUACAGAGGCGAAUGCUUGCAGCAAACCACUGAACUGAGAACAGGGUCCCAAUUGGAGGAAUUAGAGAAAGGAUUGAAGGAGCUGAAGGGGUUUGCAAGCCCAUGAGAACAACAAUACCAAUCAACCAGAGCUUCCAGGGACUAAACCACUACCCAAAGAGUACACAUGGACAGACCCAUGGCUCCAGCUGCAUAUGUAGCAGAGGAUGGUCUUGUUGGGCACCAAUGGUAGAAGCCCUUUGUACUACCAAGGCUGGACCCAAGAGCAUAGGGGAAUGUCAGAGCGGGGAGGUAGGAAGUGGUGGGUGG
Molecule: long non-coding RNA, 1348 nt
Organism: Rattus norvegicus (Norway rat)
Lineage: Eukaryota; Metazoa; Chordata; Mammalia; Rodentia; Muridae
Source: RefSeq, a predicted model, not a curated record